Non-coding RNA from Lolium perenne, 2779 nucleotides. The record is from RefSeq and is a predicted model, not a curated record. NCBI's taxonomy places the organism in Eukaryota, Viridiplantae, Streptophyta, Magnoliopsida, Poales, Poaceae.
GACUAAUCUCGCGUCUCUGUCUCUCACGUUUUUCUGUCUCUAGCUGGAAAUUCCCCACCUGCAGCUUCUCAUGCCCGCGAUGCGCCGUCGCCACCUGCCAUCCCGGCCGCCGCCGGCCACAUCCUCCGCCACCGCUUGUCAGCGAGGGUCCGCCCCUGUUUUCUCCACCGGUUCCCCUUCACCGUGUAGUCUCCUCUCUCGCGCGCCCUCGCCCGCGUCUAACCCUAGCCGUGGGUUCGGAUCGGGCUGCCGGCGUUACUCCCCCACGCCAGCGCCUCUGGCUGCUCGUGCUGCUCCACCCCGACGUCCUAGAUCUCAACCUCGAGACCAGCUCCACUACCCAGACGCCGACAACCACCUCCUGGUUCCCCGCGUCGACCUCACCAUCUCGGCCUUCGAUUGUGUUGUUCAGCUGCUGCCACUAGCUGUUGCCUCCCGCACCAUGGUGCGGUGGUAGGCUGCAACUAUCCCGGCUCCUCUCGGAUGGCUACGAAGUCGCCUUCCUCCACUGCUGCCUUGGCCACGCUGCGAGGGUAAUCUCUGAUUCUCCCCAAUUUCCUCUCAUACAUGGUGAUGAUUCAGUGAUCUGGCUAGUGAGCUAUGGUGUUAAUCCAUGGGAUUUUUGGGUGUAUAAAUGGUCCCCUUCAUAAUGAGCUACUAGGAAUAGGAUGGUGCUAUCUAGUUAGGUGUUUGAUAAAUCUGUACAGGUUAGUCUCCUACUAGUUCUAUGAUGUGCUAGGAGCAUAAGGCAGGUUAUGGUGAUCUACUCGACUAGUGCUAUGUGUUAAUUGUUGUGAUGAUAUGCUGCUGGUUUGCUGAUGUUUCUAGCUAUAGGAUUUAUAACCGAAAAUUCAUGGUUAUGUCCUUUUGUUCUUGCUAAUUAAUAUAUACAUAUGUAGGUGUUUAUCAAAAUAGAACAGAUGUAUUUCUUUAUUUAGCAAUCCGGUAAAUAGUUCCUCGAUGCCAUUUUACAAGAAAUGGUCUCUACUUACUUUGGAUUUCCACACAAACUAGUUCUCAGAUCAUGUGUAAGUGAUGUGCAUGAGUGAUCAUAGAGGAUAUAUCUAUGUUGUAAUAUAAUUUACUUGCAGGAACAAUUUCUAUAUCUAUUCCUGCAAAUUACAAGCACUUAUUCUUAUAUAAAUAAUGCAAUAGAAAUGGUUUUACAGGUUUACACUUGUUUGUGGUAUAUAUAUUUAUUUGUGGUUGAUUACUUGAUGAUUGUAGAUGCAUUUCCUAUUAUAAGCUUGCUGCCAGAUAUUUAUAAGGAUGUUUGUGAAUGUCCAAGUUUUAACUUGAGCUUAAUGUGGUGGUUUUGUUGCCUAAUCUAGUUCAUGUUAUUAAAAUAAUGUUCUGUAGUCAUCACAUAUAUUUAUAAGGCGUCGCAGUGCAUGUAUGUGAUAAGAACAGAUACAACUAUGCCUGUCUAGAUUGUUGGUGAUGAACUUCUAGGGCUGGCUACUAUUGUGGUAUUCCAGGGAAUUACUUGGUAACUUUAAAGCUAGUUUAGAUGGUCUUUGGACUACAUAAUCAUAUAUUUGUAAGAUAUUGCACAACUUUGUGUUGGUAUGUGUGUAAAGUAACCCCUCUUGAUCUCCUAGACGAUCUAGUUGCAGAUCAGUAGGUUUUGGUUAUUUGUUCACUCAUAUACAAUUUCUAAUGUGUUUUAUUUGAUAAGACCCGAUGCUAUGCUUGCUUUCUUAGCACUGCCUGUGAUGCGAAGGCUGAGGCACAGAUUCCUCGAGGGAUAGAUACUAAGAUUUGGCUUUCCAAAUUCUCUGUGAUGAGCUUGCAUGAGUAUUAUUAUGCAGACUGAGAGAAAUCUUCAUCCACAAUUCACUUUGUAUUUUCUUGUUCUUUCUUUUUUAUUUAAAGCUGAUAGGUUCGGAUAGAUAUUGUCUUAGAUGUUGCUGUCUAAAGAUUUCUAGCUCCUGGCUAUUGCCAGUGAUCAUCAGUCCAAGUACUGUUGAUCUUGAGCAUGUAGAUGUUGAUGCUUUACUAUUUCCCUCUUCCCUUAUAUGCUGCUAUGAAUAGAUGCUAUUAUUAACUUGUUGCCUAACAACCUGUUGUUGUAGAGUAGCUUUGUCUUCUGGAUUCUGAAUAACCUGCUUCUUGUGGAUAGCCUGCUCCUCCUCGCUGCUUGUAUAUUUCCAAAGAUCUAACAAUUGAUUUUUUGUGGCUGAUUUGGCUGUUCUUGUUAUUCUUCUAAUGGAUCUGGGUGUGUUUGAGUACUGGAUGAGGGAUAGAUGACUGCUAGGGAUCUGAUAGUCUGAUCUUUUUAUCUUUCUGUUCUAAGGCUGAUAAUCCUGGUACUGGAUAGUAUUCUUGUGCAUGAGCUAAGCUGUUGAUGCUUGUAUAUGCUCAAGGAAUGGUUGGUACUGCUUUGGCUGCUGGGAGAGACAAAUGAUUCGGCAGGUUGUUGUAGCCUUACUUUUAUACUGCUGGGCAGUUGCUGUGGUGGUGACAACACAUAGGUUGCAUGUAGUGAGUAAGCUGCCUGCGUAGUCUCUUUGAAGUGCAAGUGGUCAAACUGGUUUGCCUUGCUUCCAAGUGCAAGCAUACGGCUGGCAGGAAAACAGAGAUCAAUGGAGGAUUGAGAAGAUUUAGAUUUAGGAAUUCUUUUAUUUCCUUGUAAUCUUCUAUUACUUUUGUAAAGAGAAUAUAUAAUUGUGUAAUGGUUGUACAAUUUCAAUGGAUGUAUGAUGAUUUGUAAUAUUUAGUUUUUGACCAAACAAUCUUAUUUUACUUACACUUAUUUGAUUUAUAAUUUCUGAAAUUA